RNAcentral lists this ribosomal RNA (422 nucleotides) under Tubastraea micranthus (black turret coral). RNAcentral's name for it is "partial large subunit ribosomal RNA". It matches the Rfam family "Bacterial large subunit ribosomal RNA", at positions 2003 to 2454 of the family's 2925-position model. The record is from RNAcentral. Lineage: Eukaryota; Metazoa; Cnidaria; Anthozoa; Scleractinia; Dendrophylliidae. RNAcentral also lists the same sequence under 2 other names.
CACGAGGGUCUCACUGUCUUAAGGAAAUUUCCAGUGAAAUUGAAUUUGUAGUGAAGAUGCUACAUCCAAAUUGUUAGACAAGAAGUCCCCAUGGAACUUUACUGGAAACUUAUGUGGCUUAAAUUAAUUUAUUUCUUACAAAUAAAUAGUUUUUAAAUGUGGUGUUAACCUCUCGGAUUAACGAGGGUUAGAAAAGCUCACUCUUUUAUUUUAAGAAAGCCAACUCAAAAUUUUAUGUCUUUGGGAUUAGAUAAGUGGGACAGUUUGGUUGGGGCGACCGCCUUUAAAAAAGUAACGAAGGCGGGCUUAAGAUAUAUUUUUAGUUAUGUCUGACUGCCAAGGGGGAAUCCUGAGCAGGCACUUACUUUUUAGGUGGGUUUAAGUGACCCGUUAAUUUAGGGUGAAAUAGUUAACGAUAAGCA